Non-coding RNA from Peromyscus maniculatus bairdii (prairie deer mouse), 1237 nucleotides. The record is from RefSeq and is a predicted model, not a curated record. NCBI's taxonomy places the organism in Eukaryota, Metazoa, Chordata, Mammalia, Rodentia, Cricetidae.
GCAACAGGUGUGGAAAGGAUUCCUAUCCCCUGCCUUAUGCAGGGAAUAGCAGAGACCUUUCAAGAGGAACUCAAGCCAUGUGAACCACAAAGCAGAGCACCUCUGGGAAUCCAUCCGUCCUUCAGAAUCGUUGAAAUCAAGACUGUGUGCAGCUGAUCACCCAGGGUUGCUGAGGCUCGAACUCUGGUCCCCGUGUGUGCAGAGCAAGCCCUCGCUGCCUGAGCCGUCUCCACAGCCCAUGAAGUAGUCACUUUGGCUCAGUGAUGAAAAGGCGAGGAUCCCCAGCUACCCGGAAGUCUGUAGCUUAGAGAGAACUGUCCAAUGACUUCAGCAGGCUUCUACUGUUCCUGCCUGUAUUCCAAUUACCUUCUUCCUAAUGAAACACGCUCUGUUCUGUGGAGAGUCGGUACAUCUGAAUGAACCCCUCCACCCCACAUAGUACUACUGCAUUUCUUUUCCUUUUGAGGAGCUUUGUAUCUUUUCUUUCUCAAAACAGAACUGGUAAUCCCAUCUUGACUCUCAUGCAGGUCUAAGCAGAGCCCGCUCAGCUGGUCUUGCAAUGAAUCGCCAUGCUGGAAAGUUGAAGCCCCACAAUCUGACUGUUUUAUGGAGAGGCCCUGGGCUAUCUUUUCUUUCCUUUUUUUUUUCCCACCUCUGGAAAUACAAUAGAGAAACCCUUUAGAAUUCUGUUAGUUUGUUUGGAUUACGCUGAAAAAAGGAAGUACCAUGAAUAAGAGUUAAUCACACUAUCGACACCAGUCAGGCUCCUGUAGCCACAGUGACUUUAAAUCACUAUACACUGCUUGGGAAAAAAAAUGAGCCCACAGUGGACACCAAGAGAUGCUGGAGUAUCGUGACAUUUCUCCGAAUGUAUUCUGACAAAAAGUGAGCAGAAAGGGGAAUCUCUGUGGUUAAUUACGCCACCCCUCUCUUGGUGAACUAGACUGUCCUCUGGAGCUUCUCGGGCAUCGCCAGGAAGAACUUUGUUCUUUGUUGUUUCCUUUGUUAAUGACUCAUGGACGUGGAAGCUUAGAACACAUUUCAGGAAAUUACACAUCUCUGGACAGCCAUGUCACGCCACAGCUAUGCUUACCUGGACUCACUCCCCAGGAAGAACCCACAGUCAGCUAACUAGGAUCUUCCUCCCAAAGUCAAACUUGAACACAAACUCACUAGCUGUGCUGAUGCUCCAAGACCAGCGCGUUGAUCUGCAUCCUGCACACGUGAAAGAGCCAAG